This is a long non-coding RNA of Homo sapiens (human), 4106 nucleotides long. RefSeq lists it as uncharacterized. The record is from RefSeq and is a predicted model, not a curated record. NCBI's taxonomy places the organism in Eukaryota, Metazoa, Chordata, Mammalia, Primates, Hominidae. The transcript is spliced from 3 exons.
UCGGCCUCCCAAAGUGCUGGGAUUACAGGCGUGAGCCACCGCACCUGAACUUUUCCUCUUAUGAAAGGAGCAGACACCAGAAACGACGCAGGCUCCCUCCUCCAGACAGAACCACGCUCAGCGUGAAACGCACCUGGGUCAGAGUCACCUAAGAUUGGUCAGCAAACAACAGGGAGAAACGAACGUGGUGAUGGCGUCAGUUCAUGCCUCAAAGACUGCAGAGCUGGGGGAAAGAAGUGAAUGUGCUGGAAUAUUCUGGCAGCUCAGUGGAGGAAGGGCCGAGGCAUUCAGCAAGAGGGAAUUCCGCAAGCCAGACGCAGCGGAGGCGGAGGACGCAAUCCCCGCCAGCUCCUGGGACCCAAGGGCCGGGUCCCUCCCGGGCUUGUGCCCAGCUUGUCCUCUCCCAUCCCUGCCUCUGGCCCGGUAUUUGCUCCCAGCAUCCUCAGCGGCCGGCAGGGAAGGCGUCCCUGGGAGGCCACCGUGGAGUUGUAGUGGACCCAGAGGCAGUGAGGUCUGCGGAGGAGAGCACUCAACAGGUAGGUAGGCGACCUGGGCCCCACCACGCACUGCAGUGUGACCCCAAGCAGCUCACUUCACUCCGAGUCCUGGUUUUAAUAAAACAUAGGACAGCGGGGAUGAGACUCUUAUUAAUAUCACAUCACAGCCUGUGGAAGGGCUUUAUAAAUGCUAAAGCUCUGUGCUAAUGUUCAGGGCACUGUACCCCUCUCCAUAGGAUGAGGGGUGGGUGAGAUAAAAUGACCCCAUGGGGACAUCCAGCCCAGACUUGUCACUCUGACUCGGAUUCUAAGAUGAAACGAGCUCAUUCCCUCCUCCCACACAGCCCUGGGCCUACACCCCUUGGCCCAAGUGACCAGAGUGGAGGGCUGGGGAGGGAGAUGGGUCAGGAGGUAUAGCUCGGGGAGCCACAGAUGUCCUGACCUGAAGGAGCUCCUUUCAGAGCUAUGUGAUGGGCCAGCUACGUUACCCGUGACCGCUCAGACGCAGGUGGGCCUUCAGAGUGUCCACACCGGUGAGGGUGAUGUCAGCCCACCAGGGCCCGUCGGCCUGCAGGGCCGCCCUGUUAGGCUGUGUGGUUUGCCGAUGUGGUACUGCCUGCCCAGAGGAAGGGAUGCCUUUUGUUGCAUACAAGGUUUCCAUCUACAGGGCCAAGUCUUACCCAGUGGUUGCUGAGCCUGCAGGGAGGGGCUGCCCUCUUCCCAGCAGGCUUACCUGCCCCCUCUGGCAGGAGGGACCACCCCUUUUUCCUAAACACAUAAUUACAAUAACAAUACAGUCCCCAAUCCCUUGUCCACAAUUCCAAACUCCCAACGCUCUGAAAAUCCAAAGCCUUUUUCUUUUCUUUUUUUUUUUUUGAGAUGGAGUCUCGCACUGUCGCCCAGGCUGGAGUGCAGUGGCACAAUCUCGAAUCACUGCAACCUCUGCCUCCCGGGUUCAAGCGAUUCUCCUGCCUCAGCCUCCUGAGUAGCUGGGAUUACAGGUGCCCGCCACCACGCCUGGCUAAUUUGGUGUAUUUUUAGUAGAGACAGGGUUUCACUACGUUGGUCAGGCUGGUCUCAAACUCCUGACCUCGUGAUCCGCCCGCCUCGGCCUUCCAAAGUGCUGGGAUUACUGGCGUGAGCCACCGUGCCCGGCUGGCUUUUCCAUACCUUAUUUAGCAAAACCUAGCCUAACCUAAGUCCUUUUUUUCUCUCACUUUGAGUAAAGAUUCACAUUUCAAUGAGGAAACCGUAAUGUGUUUGAGCAUGGGGUGUUUCCCCAGAUCUCACUGGGUUAUACAUGACAUUGGAAUAUGCAUAUUACCUUUUUAAAACUCCAGAAGCAGACAUUCUGAAACACAUACGACCAUGGGUUUCCGCUAAGAAAUAGAUCUGUAACAACCAGCACUGAGUAUACAGGCUUCCACAUAUCCCCAGCACUGUGCUGUGUACUCACAGGCACCAGUUCAUGUAAUCCCAGCAACUCAACUUAUUUCAUGUUAUAGCUGAAGCCCAGGGAGGUUAAGUAGCCUUGCCAAAGUCACACAGUUAACUCAGGGGUGGUGCCAGAUUUGAACUCCGGCAGUUUGGCUCCCUGUUACUAACCCUAGGCUGUACAGAUGAGGAAACUGAGGCCCAGAAAGCAGAAACUUGCUCAAGAUCCUCUGAUGGGUAACGGUUGGAGCUGGGCCGGAGUCCUUGAGCCCCAAGCCUUACCUGCUCCUGUCUGUUGGGGACCAGUUGGGGGUGGUGAGGCCACCAGCAGCAGCCCAGGAACUCACAGCCUCCUCAGGCUGAGUUUGUCCAGCCCAUCCGGGAGGAGCUUAAAAUAGAAGAAGUUCCCAUGGAAAAGUUUUAAGACUUCACUGGAUUGAAACCAGAUGACCCUGUGCAAACAGACCCCACCAGCAGGCACAGGGUCUGGGCGUGAGCUGUGCUCCCUACGGCUGUUCCCAGCCUGCCCUGGGGAGGGAAACUGCCCUGGGGGUGCAGACAGGCCAGCAGGGAAGAGAGCCCAGGGACAGGGGACACCAGAGCGGCAGGCCUUUGCUGUUGGGAAGGGGUGGGAGACGUCUUCCCCAAGGCAGAGAAGUGUCCCCAACACUUUCACUGGCUCCAUCUGUUUCCCAGCUUCUGAAGAUGGACAGAGAACUUGGAGACAGCAUUCACCCAUUCUCCCACCCUGCCAAUCGUCUCCCUGUUCCCCCACUUAUUCUUGCCUUUACUUGCACGCCACAGUCAUACGGCAAACACAGCACCUCCUUGACACGGAGGGCUAUGUGUGAACCACUAGGGACACAAGAAUGCAGCAGACACUGUCCUGCCCUUUGGAAACUCCCAGACACACUGAGCAGUCGUCACAGCAGGAUGGUGGGGGGUAGGGGUAGGCUGGGGACACCUGAAUAACCCUGGCCGGUCAGCGGGAGCUGCACAGACGAGGUUUGGAGCAGGACCCAGAAGGGAGGGAGAAGAAGGGGUGUUCUGGGCCAGCGGUCAGGCCUGGUCACGCCAGCUGGCUGGCACACAGGGUGCGCGGAGAAGGGCAAACAGAAAAAGGGGCUGGAGGGAGGUGCGGACCCCAUUAGAGGGCCUCAUCGCCCCAUUGAGUUUCUCCUGGGAAGGCUGGGGAGGCAGGAGAUUUUAUGUCUUCCUGGACUCCAGGUUGGUGGAGGAAGAAGACUCUUCUCCGUGCAGCGGCCAGUGGUAGUGACCUGAGCACUCCUCUGGGGCAGGGCCUGUCCCUGUCGCCUAUUCAGCCCAGCCUCUGGCACAUGGCUAAGCACCAUAGGAAUAGAUUGCUCAAUCUCCCCAUGCCUAGAAACCAAGUCCCUGCUGCUCCUAGAAGGAUGAGACCACCAGGGAAGUGGGAACCUGAACUGGGUUUUUUUUUUUUUUUGGAGGGGGUGCGGGGGGGACAGGGUCUCACUCUGUUGCCCAGAAUGGAGUGCAGUGGCAUGACCUCAGCUCACCGCAACCUCGCCUCCUGGGUUCAAGUGAUUCUCUUGCCUCAGCCUCCUGGGAUUACAGGCUCGCACCAUUAUCACCCGGCUAAUUUUUGUAUUUUUAGUAGAGAUGGGGUUUCACCAUGUUAGCUAGGCUGGUCUUGAACUCCUGACCUCAAAUGAUCCACCCGCCUAGGCCUCCCAAAGUGCUGGGAUUACAGGUGUGAGCCACCACGCCUGGCCUGAACUGGGUUUUAUAUGAUAUUAAGAAAUUGUUGUACCAUGGAAUACUAUGCAGCCAUAAAAAGAAUGAAAUCAUGUCCUUUGCAACAAUAUAGAUAGAGCUAGAGGCCAUAAUCCCAAGCAACCUAAUGCAAGAACAGAAAACCAAAUACCACGUUCUCACUUAUAAGUGGGAGCUAAAUGUUAAAUACACAUGAUCAUAAAGAUGGGAACAGUAGACACUGGGGAUCACUGGACUGGGAAGGGAGGGAGGGGGGUGUGGGCUGAAGAAUCACCUGUUGGGUACUAUGCUUACGGUCUGGGCGACAGGGUCCCUGGGACCCCAAGCCUCAGUGUCAUGCAAUUUGCCCAUGUAACAAAUCUGCAGGUGUACCCUUUAUAAUAAAAAUUGAUUUUUUUUUUUUUCUGAGAUGGAGUCUUGCUC